This 253-nucleotide ribosomal RNA is filed under the name uncultured bacterium. RNAcentral's name for it is "partial 16S ribosomal RNA". It matches the Rfam family "Bacterial small subunit ribosomal RNA", at positions 524 to 776 of the family's 1533-position model. The record is from RNAcentral.
UACGUAGGGCGCAAGCGUUAUCCGGAAUUAUUGGGCGUAAAGAGCUCGUAGGUGGUUUGUCGCGUUGUUCGUGAAAACUCACAGCUCAACUGUGGGCGUGCGGGCGAUACGGGCAGACUUGAGUACUGCAGGGGAGACUGGAAUUCCUGGUGUAGCGGUGAAAUGCGCAGAUAUCAGGAGGAACACCGGUGGCGAAGGCGGUUCUCUGGGCAUUACCUGACGCUGAGGAGCGAAAGUGUGGGGAGCGAACAGG